CUCAUUUGUCUCUUGCCUCUGCCAUGUUAGAAGUGCCUUUCGCCUCCCACCAUGACUCUGAGGCCUACACAGCCACGUCGAACUGCAAGUCCACUUAAACCUCUUUUCGUUCCCAGUUUCAGUGUGGUGGAAAAGGAAGAGAGAGCUGAGGCAGACGAUGUAAGAUCUGCUGUUACUUCUUGCUGUGUGACCUUGGGUGAAGUGAAGUGGGUGUGCCUGGGAUCACACACAGCUGAGACGGGGUUUCACUGUGUUCACCAGGAUGGUCUCGAUCUCCUGACCUUGUGAUCCACCUGCCUCAGCCUCCCAAAGUGCUGGGAUUACAGGCGUGAGCCACUGCGCCCAGCCUGCAACUCUGUUUUUUGCUUUCAGGAAAAUCAGGCCAUGUUUGUGUCCACAAACAAGAGUGAAGAUAAUCUCUCCUAUCUGAGAAAUCCAGGAGUGGAGGAAUCCAAUGGGAACUCUGGCCAAGCUAAAAGAAGGUCUCAAGAGCCACAGAUGUCUUGGAUAUUUCUGUAUUUCAGACUCUACUACCCAGACACCAAAAGAAGAAAUGAUUAACCCUGGAGGCUGCCUUGGUCUAGGUGAAAAAAUAUAUGUACGAUGACAGUGCAAUCAUACUAGAACUCAGGAUUAAGAAACUCACUCAAAACUGCUCAACUACAUGGAAACUGAACAACCUGCUCCUGAAUGACUACUGGGUACAUAACGAAAUGAAGGCAGAAGUAAAGAUGUUCUUUGAAACCAACGAGAACAAAGACACAACAUACCAGAAUCUCUGGGACACAUUCAAAGCAGUGUGUAGAGGGAAAUUUAUAGCACUAAAUGCCCACAAGAGAAAGCAGGAAAGAUCUAAAAUUGACACCCUAACAUCACAAUUAAAAGAACUAGAGAAGCAAGAGGAAACACAUUCAAAAGCUAGCAGAAGGCAAGAAAUAACUAAAAUCAGAGCAGAACUGAAGGAAAUAGAGACACACAAGAACCCUUCAAAAAAUCAAUGAAUCCAGGGGCUGGUUUUUUGAAAAGAUCAAUAAAAUUGAUAGACCGCUAGCAAGAUUAAUAAAGAAGAAAAGAGAGAAGAAUCAAAUAGACUCAAUAAAAAAUGACAAAGGGGAUAUCACCACCAAUCCCUCAGAAAUACAAACUACCAUCAGAGAAUACUAUAAACACCUCUACGCAAAUAAACUAGAAAAUCUAGAAGAAAUGGAUAAAUUCCUCGACACAUACACUGUCCCAAGACUAAACCAUGAAGAAGUUGAAUCUCUGAAUACACCAAUAACAGGCUCCGAAAUUGAGGCAAUAAUUAAUAGCUUACCAAUGAAAAAAAGUCCAGGACCAGAUGGAUUCACAGCCAAAUUCUACCAGAGGUACAUGGAGGAGCUGGUACCAUUCCUUCUGAAACUAUUCCAAUCAAUAGAAAAAGAGGGAAUCCUCCCUAAUUCAUUUUAUGAGGCCAGCAUCAUCCUGAUACCAAAGCCUGGCAGAGACACAACCAAAAAGAAUUUUAGACCAAUAUCCUUGAUGAACACUGAUGCAAAAAUCCUCAAUAAAAUACUGGCAAACCGAAUCCAGCAACACAUCAAAAAGCUUAUCCACCAUGAUUAAGUGGGCUUCAUCCCUGGGAUGCAAGGCUGGUUCAACAUACGAAAAUCAAUAAACGUAAUCCAGCAUAUAAACAGAACCAAAGACAAAAACCACAUGAUUAUCUCAAUAGACACAGAAAAGGCCUUUGAAAAAUUCAACAACCAUUCAUGCUAAAAACUCUCAAUAAAUUAGGUAUUGAUGGGACCUAUUUCAAAAUAAUAAGAGCUGUCUAUGACAAACCCACAGCCAAUAUCACACUGAAUGGACAAAAACUGAAAGCAUUCCCUUUGAAAACUGGCACAACACAUGGAUGCCCUGUCUCACCACUCCUAUUCAACAUAGUGUUGGAAGUUCUGGCCACAGCAAUCAGGCAGGAGAAGGAAAUAAAGGGUAUUCAAUUAGGAAAAGAGGAAGUCAAAUUGUCCCUGUUUGCAGAUGACAUGAUUGUAUAUCUAGAAAACCCCAUUGCCUCAGCCCAAAAUCUCCUUAAGCUGAUAAGCAACUUCAGCAAAGUCUCAGGAUACAAAAUCAAUGUGCAAAAAUCACAAGCAUUCUUAUACACCAAUAACAGACAAACAGAAAGCCAAAUCAUGAGUGAACUCUCAUUCACAAUUGCUUCAAAGAGAAUAAAAUACCUAGGAAUCCAACUUACAAGGGAUGUGAAGGACCUCUUCAAGGAGAACUACAAACCACUGCUCAAGGAAAUAAAAGAGGAUACAAACAAAUGGAAGAAAAGUCCAUGCUCAUGGACAGGAAGAAUCAAUAUCGUGAAAAUGGCCAUACUGCCCAAGGUAAUUUAUAAAUUCAAUGCCAUCCCCAUCAAGCUAUCAAUGACUUUCUUCACAGAAUUGGAAAAAAGUACUUUAAAGUUCAUAUGGAACCAAAAAAGAGCCCACAUUGCCAAGUCAAUCCUAAGCCAAAAGAACAAAGCUGGAGGCAUCAUGCUACCUGACUUCAAACUAUACCACAAGGCUACAGUAAUAAAAACAGCAUGGUACUGGUACCAAAACAGAGAUAUAGAUCAAAGGAACAGAACAGAGCCCUCAGAAAUAAUGCCACAUAUCUACAACUAUCUGAUCUUUGACAAAACUGACAAAAACAAGCAAUGGGGAAAGGAUUCCCUAUUUAAUAAAUGGUGCUGGGAAAAUGGCUAGCCAUAUGUAGAAAGCUGAAACUGGAUCCCUUCCUUACACCUUAUACAAAAAUUAAUUCAAGAUGGAUUAAAGACUUAAAUGUUAGACCUAAAACCGUAAAUACCCUAGAAGAAAACCUAGGCAAUACUAUUCAGGACAUAGGCAUGGGCAAGCACUUCAUGUCUAAAACACCAAAAGCAAUGGCAACAAAAGCCAAAAUUGACAAAUGGGAUCUAAUUAAAGAGCUUCUGCACAGCAAAAGAAACUACCAUCAGAGUGAACAGGCAACCUACAGAAUGGGAGAAAAUUUUUGCAACCUACUCAUCUGACAAAGGGCUAAUAUCCAGAAUCUACAAUGAACUCAAACAAAUUUACAAGAAAAAAACAAACAACCCCAUCAAAAAGUGGGUGAAGGAUAUGAACAGACACUUCUCAAAAGAAGACAUUUAUGCAGGCAAAAAACACAUGAAAAAAUGCUCAUCAUCACUGGCCAUCAGAGAAAUGCAAAUCAAAACCACAAUGAGAUACCAUCUCACACCAGUUAGAAUGGCAAUCAAUCAUUAAAAAGUCAGGAAACAACAGGUGCUGGAGAGGAUGUGGAGAAAUAGGAACACUUUUACACUGUUGGUGGGACUGUAAACUAGUUCAACCAUUGUGGAAGUUGGUGUGGUGAUUCCUCAGGGAUCUAGAACUAGAAAUACCAUUUGACCCAGCCAUCCCAUUACUGGGUAUAUACCCAAAGGAUUAUAAAUCAUGCUGCUAUAAAGACACAUGCACACGUAUGUUUAUUGCGGCACUAUUCACAAUAGCAAAGACUUGGAACCAACCCAAAUGUCCAACAAUGAUAGACUGGAUUAAGAAAAUGUGGCACACACACACCAUGGAAUACUAUGCAGCCAUAAAAAUUGAUGAGUUCAUGUCCUUUGUAGGGACAUGGGUGAAGCUGGAAACCAUCAUUCUCAACAAACUAUUGCAAAAGGACAAAAAACCAAACACCGCAUGUUCUCACUCAUAGGUGGGAAUUGAACAAUGAGAACACAUGGACACAGGAAGGGGAACAUCACACUCUGGGGACUGUUGUGGGGUGGGGGGAGGCGCGAGGGAUAGCAUUAGGAGAUAUACCUAAUGCUAAACGACGAGUUAAUGGGUGUAGCACACCAACAUGGCACAUGUAUACAUAUGUAACAAACCUGCAGGUUGUGCACAUGUACCCUAAAACUUAAAGUAUAAUAACAAUAAUAAUAAUAAUAGGAAUCUAAAAAAAAAAACAAUUUAAAUAAUGUCACCUAAGAUUUUUUACAAUUAGCAAGUGCUGGGGAUUCAAUCCAGGGAGUCUGACAUCCAGAGCCAAUACUUUACUACAUGAAACAGCCCUAAAAAGAGCAGAGAAUCUGUCUUCACAGAUUUUCAAAGAGUAAGGAAACAUGGUUAGGCCUAGUGGUCAGGGAAUGCUUUGUAGAUGCAGUGGGGUGUGGAAAGAGGCCAUGAAGAAGAAAGAGGAUUUGAAAGAAGAGAGAGGAAUGAAGAAAGACUUCUAAUAAAUAUGCUUGCUACGAUCAAUUCUGUGUCCUCCCUUUUCUAUAAAAUAUGAUCCUUGGCCCCUAUAAUUUCUUGACUCUAAAUGUUUGAAAGAGUGAAUCAGCAUUAUCAUGGAACAAUAUGUGCUGAUGGGUAUAGUCUCCCCCUUUGAUUGGUACUUUGCAAGUUUCACAAAUAACUAACCACCUGAGAACUUGUCUCCCUUGAACUGAAUUCCAUUUUAAUUUUGUUCACCUUCUUGAUUCUCUUCUUUUUGUGUCAAAAUUGUACUUUUGCAAAGAUGAUUUCAAAAGUGUUUUCUUUCUGAUUUAGUGCGGCCAGUUUUCAACAUUCGGUCUGAAAUUGAGGAGUUGCUGUAUGAAAAGUGAAUUUAUUUGAAUGGUAAAGUUUCCUGUGAACAGAAAUAAAGUAUUGUUUCACUCUGAAA
RNAcentral lists this long non-coding RNA (4683 nucleotides) under Homo sapiens (human). RNAcentral's name for it is "non-protein coding LINC00504:9". The record is from RNAcentral. Lineage: Eukaryota; Metazoa; Chordata; Mammalia; Primates; Hominidae.